Molecule: long non-coding RNA, 1600 nt
Organism: Amphiprion ocellaris (clown anemonefish)
Lineage: Eukaryota; Metazoa; Chordata; Actinopteri; Pomacentridae
Source: Ensembl
CUGGUCAUCAUGCUCAGUUCGUCCUGAAACUCUGGAGUGCAGCUGCAUGGUGGAGAGCUGCUGGUGUGGGCUGGAGAGCAGCAGGUAGCCUGUUAUUGAUGCUGAAUGCUGUUUAAACACAUGACUGGUGCUUUUGUUUUUAAAAUGAGAGUUUAAGAAGAAGAAAAAAAAAACUCCCAAGAGCGGCAGAAAAACAUGUUUAUGACUUAAUUUGCAUAAAGUGUAGUAUGUAAUAAGUCGGUUCUUGGCUAAAAAUUUAAAUAUCAUCCGAGAGAUUAACCAAAGAGGUGGGAUGCAACAUAAAAAAUAAAAAAUAAGAAGAAAUGGAAAAAGUUACAAAAAAAAGAAAAUAAAUGGCGGUGACACUGUAUUUCCACAAGGGGGAUGUCAAUCUCCAGUCCCUGUGGUCGUCCCUCCUCCUUAGCACUCCUCCUCAGCACUCUUCCUCCUCCUCCUCUUCCUCUUCCUCCUCAUCCUUUGUGGUCGUGGCUGAUUCGGAUGCUGUUAUUCCCGGCCCUGGACCACACCUGCUCACCCCACGGUUCUCUUUCACACAUAUGAAAACACGUCCAGAGUAGAGCGAUGGGUCCACUGCUGCUGCACAAAGACGGAAGGGGCUGAACCGUCCCAUUCAGAGCCGGCAACACAGAAACCCACAUUAUGUACAUAAUCCUCAGUGUAUGUUUACAUAGACACAGUUAUAGGUGUCCUGUUGGGGGGGGGGUGAAACAAGCAUGACCACAUCUCAUCUACAGGUUUUUCUGCAGUCGCUUCAUCUGAGCCAGUGGAAGCGUGGAGUCAAUUUUCUGAGUCACUCUGGCUUGUUUUGUUCCCUUUUGUUCUUCUUUUUGUUAAAGUCCUGCAGGUGUUUGGUUUGUUCAGCAGGUAUCCAUGAACACAAGGACGCGCCGGUGUUCUUAAGUUUAUCUCUGCCUUCAGUGGCUGUUUAUCUUCUUUAUUUGGUUGUAUUCUUGACUCUUUUUUUUUUAAAUCUGCCGGGAUGUGCUAAAAUGAGCAGAAAAACGUCGGCCAAGUGUGUAUUUGUUUGCCGUGCAUGCUGCCGUGCCGAAGCUGAGGCGUCUUCGCACUUGUGUGUUGCACAGGCUGCUGUUGUUGUUCACGAGGGCACGACUCGAAAAUUGGUUCUGUCAUUUUGUCUUAAAAAUACAUGUCUUAAUUCUGUAUUUUAAAAAAAAACGAUUAAAAAAAGAAUUCUAUAUCUAUAUAUUUAUCAUACACAUCACUUCUCAAGGCACCAGUCGAUUAUUUUGGUUUCUUCUUCUCAGCCUGUGGGAUGGAAGUGAAAUAGCACCGUGCAGUACUUGGACUUGUGGUCGAUGACGUUUGUGAGACACUGAGGAAAAGUUUUGUUGAUGAGGUGAAUACUGUUCUUUUAACUUUGUUUCUCAUUUUCUUUUUUUGUGUAACGGAGAAGAAAAAAAAGAGGGGGGCACAUUUUAAUGGAUGGGUUUGUUUUUUUUUUCCUGGCCUGCAAUGAGAUGUCAAAAAUAAAAAAGCAAAUUUCCAAAGCUGACGGUGUUUUGAGAUCAACCAGUUUGUGUUCUUUUACUGUUCUAAAUAAAAAUGGCUUUCUGAUUCA